GCGCCCGUAGCUCAGGGGACAGAGCAGCGGACUUCUAAUCCGCCGGCCGCAGGUUCGAAUCCUGCCGGGCGCG
Molecule: transfer RNA, 73 nt
Filed under: Rubrobacter xylanophilus DSM 9941
Lineage: Bacteria; Bacillati; Actinomycetota; Rubrobacteria; Rubrobacterales; Rubrobacteraceae
Also listed under: 2 other names
Description: tRNA-Arg (TCT) (tRNA-Arg-TCT-1-1)
Rfam family: tRNA
About the family: Transfer RNA (tRNA) molecules are approximately 80 nucleotides in length. Their secondary structure includes four short double-helical elements and three loops (D, anti-codon, and T loops). Further hydrogen bonds mediate the characteristic L-shaped molecular structure. tRNAs have two regions of fundamental functional importance: the anti-codon, which is responsible for specific mRNA codon recognition, and the 3' end, to which the tRNAs corresponding amino acid is attached (by aminoacyl-tRNA synthetases). tRNAs cope with the degeneracy of the genetic code in two manners: having more than one tRNA (with a specific anti-codon) for a particular amino acid; and 'wobble' base-pairing, i.e. permitting non-standard base-pairing at the 3rd anti-codon position.
Source: Rfam by way of RNAcentral